Molecule: small nuclear RNA, 20 nt
Filed under: Arabidopsis thaliana (thale cress)
Lineage: Eukaryota; Viridiplantae; Streptophyta; Magnoliopsida; Brassicales; Brassicaceae
Description: snRNA_00446
Source: RNAcentral
UAGUUACUUAUGUGAUUACU